Molecule: small nucleolar RNA, 101 nt
Organism: Cavia porcellus (domestic guinea pig)
Lineage: Eukaryota; Metazoa; Chordata; Mammalia; Rodentia; Caviidae
Rfam family: Small nucleolar RNA U13
Source: Rfam
AUCCUCAGGUUCAUAAGCGUGAUGAUUGGGCGCUCAUGCUGAAUGCAUGACAUGUGCUCCUUCAAACCUUGUUACGACAUCGGCACAUUACUCAUCUGAUG